UCUGGUAAGACAAACUCUAGAUCCCAACUGUAUUUCUAUAGGAUCUGUCCCUUUUGCUAAUAAGUUAGGAAGUCAAGAAGCUCAAAUACUGCCUGAUGACACGCCUUUAAUCCUAAACUCUUGAGUCAGGUAGAUCUGAGUUGGAGGCCAGCCUGGUCUACUGAGUGAGUUCCUGAACAGCCAGGACAACAGAGAAACCAUCUUGGCAGGGAGGUGGGAGGAUUCAACUACUGACUUAAAAACUCAUCUUGUUUGAAGCAGUAAAUAUUUUGUUUUUUAGUACAAUUACAUUGGUUAUCUUGACUAUAAAAAGGAAAGAAUUCGUAAGCUAUCCAUGAAAGCCAGCACCUGCUCCUUUAAUCCUGGAGUUUUUGUUGCCAACUUGACUGAGUGGAAAAGACAGAAUGUAACUAACCAGCUGGAAAAAUGGAUGAAGCUCAAUGUAGAGUAAGUAUGUAACUAACUUAGCUAUUAAAACAUUGAACAGUUGGUCUUACUCUUCACUAACUGCUGUUUCACAGAGAGGGACUGUACAGCAGAACCCUGGCUGGCAGCAUCACCACACCUCCUCUGCUUAUCGUAUUUUAUCAGCAGCAUUCCACCAUUGACCCUAUGUGGAAUGUCCGCCACCUUGGUUCCAGUGCUGGAAAACGGUAUUCACCCCAGUUUGUAAAGGCUGCCAAGUUACUUCACUGGAAUGGUCACUUCAAGCCUUGGGGAAGAGCUGCUUCAUAUGCUGACGUUUGGGAGAAAUGGUAUAUUCCAGACCCAACAGGCAAAUUUAGUUUAAUCCGAAGACAUAUGGAUACCUCAAACAUAAAGUGAACUAC
This 830-nucleotide long non-coding RNA is filed under the name Rattus norvegicus (Norway rat). Its description in RNAcentral is "long non-coding RNA NONRATT011278". The record is from RNAcentral. Lineage: Eukaryota; Metazoa; Chordata; Mammalia; Rodentia; Muridae.